Non-coding RNA from Mesoplodon densirostris (Blainville's beaked whale), 73 nucleotides. The record is from the annotation of a RefSeq genome assembly. NCBI's taxonomy places the organism in Eukaryota, Metazoa, Chordata, Mammalia, Artiodactyla, Ziphiidae.
UCCCUGGUGGUCCAGUGGUAAGGACUCGGCACUCUCACUGCUGGGGCCCUGGGUUCGAUCCCUGGUCAGGGAA